This 131-nucleotide small RNA is filed under the name Salmonella enterica. RNAcentral describes it as "RtT sRNA". It matches the Rfam family "RtT RNA". Rfam says of the family: This family represents a bacterial cis-regulatory element known as RtT RNA. The exact function of RtT is unknown although it is thought that it may be involved in changing the cellular response in relation to amino acid starvation. The record is from RNAcentral. Lineage: Bacteria; Pseudomonadati; Pseudomonadota; Gammaproteobacteria; Enterobacterales; Enterobacteriaceae.
AUAUCUCUCUGUACGGGAAGGAUGAGAAGCUUCGACCAAGGUUCGAUUCGAGCGCAGCGAGAAAGCGUUGCCGCAGGCAACGACCCGAAGGGUGAGGAGCGGAGCGACGAAUAAUCCUUCCCCCACCACCA